Molecule: long non-coding RNA, 964 nt
Filed under: Lepisosteus oculatus (spotted gar)
Lineage: Eukaryota; Metazoa; Chordata; Actinopteri; Semionotiformes; Lepisosteidae
Description: lncRNA (ENSLOCG00000021149.1)
Source: RNAcentral
AUGUGCCUGUGUCUGUGUGUCUGCCCUACAGUGGCCUGGCAUCCCAUCCAGGGUGUAUCCUGCCUUAUGCCUGUUGCUUGCCAGGAUUGGCUCCAGCUCCCCAGUGAUCCUGAUUUGGGAGAAGCAGUAAGAAAAUGGACAGAUGAAUCUUUUAAAGGCAUUUUGAAGGAGGACAUAACAGUUUAUACAUUAAUAAAACUGCUCCUAGAUGUAUCUGGCGGGGCUUCGCCGGCUGCCAGCUCGGGGGCGGUGUGUCGUUGUGAAAGUCCUGCUUUCUCUAAAGGCCGGAACCAUCACUCUCCCCCUCCUCGUUCUGCUCUUCCGGAGUUGGCCCACGUCUGUGGCUUCGUCCUCUGCAAGAGGAAAUGAGAAAGCGUGACGAAGACCAGCUAUCAACCGGAGCCUAAGAAUAAAGGAAAUAGGGAGUUACACCUGAUGAAGGGGCCACAGGCUGUUGAGAAGGGUCAAGACGUCCUCCACAGAACCAGGCCGUCUCAAACUGGGUUGUCAAGGCACGCUUGGCUUGACCUUCACUCCACGGGGCUCUGCAUGACUGGGCGCCUCAGGACCAGUUCCUGCUCCUCACCUCACAACCUCUGUUCGUCCGCCAAGCUCGUUAACAUACUAUGGAUGUCAGGGCCUUUUCCUGCUGUGCUCCUAGGCUCUGGAAGUCUAUCCCCAAGGAAAUUAGAGAAGCAUUCAAAUCCAGACUCAUAACCGCCUUCUUCAGAAAGGGUUUUACGUACAGGAAUUGGUGUCUGUGUCUGGUCCUAAAUAGCUAAUCCCUUGUGUUUCCUGCUCAUUUUGUUAUCUCCUGUCUUCGUUGAUGUUUUUUUUUUUACUUUGCUGUAAAGUGGUUUGAGAAGAUACUUUUAAUGGCGCUAUAGAAAAUAAAGUUUCUUCCUCUCCUUAUUGUUGUUGUUGUUGUUAUUAUUGUAGGUAGGGUUGCUGACUGCCUUAGUUU